AAAAAAAAAAUUAUAAUAAUGGACAUAUUAUACACUGUAGAAAUAUUCAGGUGGUUUUCUAAAGUAGGGGUGCUUGCUUAACCAACACAAACAGUGGCUGCAGACUUUCCUAAGUCGAAGGAACUUCUGUACAGCUGGUGGCGGCAGUAAAGGAUGGCGACAAUGGCACGCUUGAGUGAUGGGGUUUUCUCCAAGGUACAGUUAAUAUUAACAUUGUAUCUGACUUUAAUGUGUUGCACACAUUAAAGAAAUACAGUAAGAAUGUGUGCCUUUAAGUCCCUGGAAAACUUGUAAAGACAGCCAGCCCAUUUUCCACCACAAAGACUUCAAAAUCUACACAACAGGUAUGACGACAGUGAUCAAAGACCGUCUCUUCUAGGCGAGGGUCACAAACAGUAAGAAAUCUUGCCACAUGGCUGUUACUUGUAACUGCCACAAACAGGAAGGUUUCUGUUUUCAGGGCAUCAAAAGUCUGUCCAAGCAAGAUGAGCACAAGGCAGCUGCUGAUAACCUUGCACAGAAUCAAAGAGCAAAUCUCAAGAGCCUAAGAUGACAUUCGACUUUACAGAUCCUUAUAAAUGCAGUUCACUUCUUGAACUCAGAAACAAUCAAUUCUAAAUCAUCCACAUGUAGUUGACACUCUAGAUUGUCUUCAGGGAGAGUUUAAAUUUUAAACUCAGGGUCCUACCACUAAUACAAUCACUACUCACAAAAUAUGACACCCCCCUCCCCCGCCUGCCACCCAUUAUUGCCACUUAAUAAGAAUUAACACUAGCUUCCAGCCAUCUGCUGCUGGGGGAAUGUCGCUGGGAGCUACUGGGACAAAAUGUAAUUCUCACAGUACAUCCCAGAGCAAAUAUAAUUGGUGGAUUAGCUGCAGUGUUGGUUGUAACCUUCAUUAGCAUGACAAUGACUUCGAGUUGACUGAAGAUUUACUUUCAGUAAAGUGUCUUCAAGAAUGACCCUUCCUCAAGAGACAGCCCUAUUAUGAAAAGGCAGUUGCCUACCAAAUGGGUUUUCAGGGGAUAUGAAAUGUGUGAAAAACAAGACUUAGACAAUUUUAAAGAGCAAAUACGACUAUAUAAUCAAAUAAAAUGAUUAUAGUUACACGGGAAGAUUACAUAUUUAUAUUCUAAUAAUGCUGCCAGUUUCUUUGAAAUUAUUUUCAGCUCAGUUUUGGAACCACCCAAGAAUACUGGUUUUAUUUAUAUUGACCUUAUUUUUAAUCACAAAUGAUAUGGCUUGGCUCAGUAAUUUUUAUUAUUUACCCAACUGGCUCUGAUAACUUUGGGCCAUUUCCAAAAACCAAAAUCUUCCUUUAAAGAAAGAUGCGGAGUUCCUUUCGCGGCUCAGUGGUUAAGGAUCCCGACUAGUAUCUGUGAGGAUGCGGGUUUGAUCCCUGGCCCUGCUCAGUGGAGGAUUUGGCAUUGCCAUGAGCUGGGGUGUAGGUUGCAGAUGCCCCUUGGAUCCUGAGUUGCUGUGGCUCUGGUGUAGCUGCAGCUCUGAUUUGACCCCUGGCCUGGAAACUUCCAUAUGCCAUGGGAGCAGCCCUAAAAAGCAAAAAAAAAAAAAGAAUGAAGAUUUGCCACCAUGAGGAUAUUUCAGAAAUGUGAUUAGAGUGCUUACGUCAAUCUCAAAAACACAUUAUAAUUUAGAAUAAGCUGAGUUUUUACCUAGGUGACUAAUUGGAACGUAACAGAUCAUCAAGUGAAAGAAAAUGAAAAUCUCAUUAUAUCAUCAUACCUAUUUCUUCCUUCCAAAAAGGGGAAUACGGCUGCGUCUGUGAACAUUACUGCAAAGCACACAGAAUCGCAGAUGCUUCUCUCCCUUCCCAUUAGCAGGCAAGUAUGGGGUUCAAACCCCAGACUUGCUCGAAGGCCAACUUCACAGAGCAUCUAAGGGAAUAAAAUAUGGACUUGAUGCAUUUCAACCAAGAAUGAGGAGGAAGCAUUGAAUCCUGAGGUGGGGUGAAGGUAACAAAAAGAAAAUCCAGACCGAGGGGGCACAAAUGAGUUGAUGGCAGGUCAGGAGAAAGACCAUGGAAAUGGGAGUGGAAAGGGCCUGGGCUGACUUCCUUUGGGGCAAGGCAUCGAAAUUUCAAGAUUUUUUUAAAGUCUCAGACUCCAGUAUUAGCAUCACGUCCUCAUUUUAACCGUUUGCAGGACUGCUGGGAGAGGUGAAAAGCAUGCCUGGGUGCCUUUGGAAGCUGUGAGAACACUGCGGGAUUUGAGGCCUCAUAACCGUAAAUGCCAACAUCACCAUCAUAUAAGGGACGCGUGAGAGGUUAAAACAAAGUAAUAUUAAAGGUAAUAAAAGUUGUCAGGGGAGUUCCCUCCACGGCUCGGCGGUUAACUCUUCCGACAGGGAUCCAUGAGGACGCAGGUUCGAUCCCUGGCCUCGCUCAGUGGUUAAGGAUCUGGCGUUGCCGUCAGCUGUGGUGGAGGUCGCAGACGUGGCUUUCAUCCUGUGUUGCUGUGGCUGUGGUGUCGGCCAGCAGCUGUAGCUCUGAUUUGACCUCUAGUCUGGAAACUUCAUGUGCCACAGGUGUGGCUUACCCGUUUGUGGUCUAUGGAAUCCAUUUUCCCCCCUUUCUGCAGUACACUCGCUUCUAUCCGUUGUUCUGUGACCGCUUCUGCUUGCCACAAUUCCUCAAA
This 2654-nucleotide long non-coding RNA is filed under the name Sus scrofa (pig). RNAcentral's name for it is "lncRNA (ENSSSCG00065062752.1)". The record is from RNAcentral. Lineage: Eukaryota; Metazoa; Chordata; Mammalia; Artiodactyla; Suidae.